Molecule: ribosomal RNA, 926 nt
Filed under: Flamella beringiania
Lineage: Eukaryota; Evosea; Variosea; Flamellidae
Description: bacterial SSU rRNA
Rfam family: Eukaryotic small subunit ribosomal RNA
Source: RNAcentral
ACGAGCUUUGGUGAUUCUAGCCAAGAAAGCAGAUCGCAUAGCCUUGUGCUGGCGACAGUUCGAUCGGGUUUCUGCCCUAUCAACUUGAUUGUAGUGUAUUGGACUACAAUGGUGAUAACGGGUGACGGGGAAUUAGGGUUCGAUUCCGGAGAGGGAGCCUGAGAAAUGGCUACCACUUCCAAGGAAGGCAGCAGGCGCGCAAAUUACCCAAUGUCAAUUCGACGAGGUAGUGACAAUAAAUAACGAUCCCGAGCCUUCUAGGCCUGGGAAUCGGAAUGAGUACAACGUAAAUAACUUAACGAGGAACCAUUGGAGGACAAGUCUGGUGCCAGCACCCGCGGUAAUUCCAGCUCCAAUAGCGUAUAUUAAAGUUGUUGCAGUUAAAAAGCUCGUAGUUGGAUUUGAAACGUCGUAACUGGCUGAGAGGAUGGUUGGACCUUUACAGCUCUAGGUUGCACGUUCUACGUCCGGUGGUGGUUAGCUGGUCUUAACUGACUGGCUGAUCGCUUCGGACUGUUUACCUUGAAUAAAUUAGGGUGUUCAAAGCAGGCUUAAGUAAGCCUUGAAUAGUUUAGCAUGGGAUAAUGGAAUACGACCCUCGCCUAGUUCGUUGGUAACCUGGGCGAGGGUAAUGAUAAAUAGGGAUUGUCGGGGUCAUUCAUAUUCAAUUGUUAGAGGUGAAAUUCUUAGAUUCUUUGAAGAUGAACUGAAGCGAAAGCGUUUGACAAGGAUGCUCCCAUUGAUCAAGAACGAAAGUUAGGGGAUCGAAGACGAUCAGAUACCGUCGUAGUCUUAACUAUAAACGAUACGAAUCGAGGAUUGGGAGACGUUAAUCGUACGACUCAUUCAGAACUCUAAGGGAAACCUUUGAAUUUUUACGUUCUGGGGGGAGUAUGGUCGCAAGGCUGAAACUUAAAGGAAUUGAC